Molecule: ribosomal RNA, 257 nt
Filed under: Citrobacter freundii
Lineage: Bacteria; Pseudomonadati; Pseudomonadota; Gammaproteobacteria; Enterobacterales; Enterobacteriaceae
Description: partial 16S ribosomal RNA
Rfam family: Bacterial small subunit ribosomal RNA
Source: RNAcentral
CAGCGAUUGACGUUACUCGCAGAAGAAGCACCGGCUAACUCCGUGCCAGCAGCCGCGGUAAUACGGAGGGUGCAAGCGUUAAUCGGAAUUACUGGGCGUAAAGCGCACGCAGGCGGUCUGUCAAGUCGGAUGUGAAAUCCCCGGGCUCAACCUGGGAACUGCAUCCGAAACUGGCAGGCUAGAGUCUUGUAGAGGGGGGUAGAAUUCCAGGUGUAGCGGUGAAAUGCGUAGAGAUCUGGAGGAAUACCGGUGGCGAA